UCUCACUACUGCACUUGACUAGUCUU
RNAcentral lists this non-coding RNA (26 nucleotides) under Callithrix jacchus (white-tufted-ear marmoset). The record is from RNAcentral. RNAcentral also lists the same sequence under 4 other names. Lineage: Eukaryota; Metazoa; Chordata; Mammalia; Primates; Cebidae.